This 835-nucleotide ribosomal RNA is filed under the name marine metagenome. Its description in RNAcentral is "bacterial SSU rRNA". It matches the Rfam family "Bacterial small subunit ribosomal RNA", at positions 368 to 1236 of the family's 1533-position model. The record is from RNAcentral.
ACAAUGGACGAAAGUCUGAUGCAGCGACACCGCGUGAGGGAUGACAGCCUUAGGGUUGUAAACCUCUUUUAUUAGGGAAUAGCAAGGAAGGUACCUAAUGAAUAAGCUACGGCUAACUACGUGCCAGCAGCCGCGGUAAUACGUAGGUAGCGAACGUUGUCCGGAAUCACUGGGCGUAAAGGGUCCGUAGGCGGUUUAACAAGUCUCAUAUGAAAGCUUCAAGCUCAACUUGGAGAUGUUGUGAGAUACUGUUAGACUUGAGGCUGUUAGAGGCAAGUGGAAUUCCAGGUGUAGUGGUGAAAUGCGUAGAUAUCUGGAGGAACACCAGUGGCGAAAGCGACUUGCUGGAACAGUUCUGACGCUAAGGGACGAAAGCGUGGGGAGCAAACCGGAUUAGAUACCCGGGUAGUCCACGCCGUAAACGAUGAUUGCUAGGUUUUCGAGGCAUCGACCCCUCGUGAGCCGAAGUUAACGCGUUAAGCAAUCCGCCUGAGUAGUACGGCCGCAAGGCUAAAACUCAAAGAAAUUGACGGGGGACCGCACAAGCAGCGGAGCGUGUGGUUUAAUUCGAUGGUAAGCGAAGAACCUUACCUGGGUUUGACAUGUAAGUAGUACUGAACCGAAAGGGGAAGGACCCGCAAGGGAGCUUACACAGGUGUUGCAUGGUUGUCGUCAGCUCGUGCCGUGAGGUGUUGGGUUAAGUCCCGCAACGAGCGCAACCCUCUUCGUUAGUUACACUCUCUAACGAUACUGCCCCUAAAAGGGAGGAAGGUGGGGACGACGUCAAAUCAUCAUGGCUCUUACACCCAGGGCUACACACACGCUACAAUGGCAA